RNAcentral lists this ribosomal RNA (301 nucleotides) under uncultured bacterium. RNAcentral describes it as "partial 16S ribosomal RNA". It matches the Rfam family "Bacterial small subunit ribosomal RNA", at positions 509 to 807 of the family's 1533-position model. The record is from RNAcentral.
CAGCCGCCACGGGAAUACGGAGGGUGCAAGCGUUAUCCGGAUUUAUUGGGUUUAAAGGGUCCGUAGGCGGAUCUGUAAGUCAGUGGUGAAAUCUAACAGCUUAACUGUGAAACUGCCAUUGAUACUGCAGGUCUUGAGUAAAUUUGAAGUGGCUGGAAUAAGUAGUGUAGCGGUGAAAUGCAUAGAUAUUACUUAGAACACCAAUUGCGAAGGCAGGUCACUAAGAUUUAACUGACGCUGAUGGACGAAAGCGUGGGGAGCGAACAGGAUUAGAUACCCCUGUAGUCCCUGUCUCUUAUAC